This 74-nucleotide transfer RNA is filed under the name Listeria monocytogenes. Its description in RNAcentral is "tRNA-Met". It matches the Rfam family "tRNA". Rfam says of the family: Transfer RNA (tRNA) molecules are approximately 80 nucleotides in length. Their secondary structure includes four short double-helical elements and three loops (D, anti-codon, and T loops). Further hydrogen bonds mediate the characteristic L-shaped molecular structure. tRNAs have two regions of fundamental functional importance: the anti-codon, which is responsible for specific mRNA codon recognition, and the 3' end, to which the tRNAs corresponding amino acid is attached (by aminoacyl-tRNA synthetases). tRNAs cope with the degeneracy of the genetic code in two manners: having more than one tRNA (with a specific anti-codon) for a particular amino acid; and 'wobble' base-pairing, i.e. permitting non-standard base-pairing at the 3rd anti-codon position. Lineage: Bacteria; Bacillati; Bacillota; Bacilli; Caryophanales; Listeriaceae. RNAcentral also lists the same sequence under 4 other names. The record is from RNAcentral.
CGCGGGGUGGAGCAGUCUGGUAGCUCGUCGGGCUCAUAACCCGAAGGUCGUAGGUUCAAAUCCUGCCUCCGCAA